Molecule: ribosomal RNA, 557 nt
Filed under: Rhizobium sp. LDB-B030
Lineage: Bacteria; Pseudomonadati; Pseudomonadota; Alphaproteobacteria; Hyphomicrobiales; Rhizobiaceae
Also listed under: 3 other names
Description: bacterial SSU rRNA
Rfam family: Bacterial small subunit ribosomal RNA
Source: RNAcentral
ACGGGUGAGUAACGCGUGGGAACAUACCCUUUUCUACGGAAUAGCUCUGGGAAACUGGAAUUAAUAUCGUAUACGCCCUACGGGGGAAAGAUUUAUCGGGGAAGGAUUGGCCCGCGUUGGAUUAGCUAGUUGGUGGGGUAAAGGCCUACCAAGGCGACGAUCCAUAGCUGGUCUGAGAGGAUGAUCAGCCACAUUGGGACUGAGACACGGCCCAAACUCCUACGGGAGGCAGCAGUGGGGAAUAUUGGACAAUGGGCGCAAGCCUGAUCCAGCCAUGCCGCGUGAGUGAUGAAGGCCUUAGGGUUGUAAAGCUCUUUCACCGAUGAAGAUAAUGACGGUAGUCGGAGAAGAAGCCCCGGCUAACUUCGUGCCAGCAGCCGCGGUAAUACGAAGGGGGCUAGCGUUGUUCGGAAUUACUGGGCGUAAAGCGCACGUAGGCGGAUAUUUAAGUCAGGGGUGAAAUCCCAGAGCUCAACUCUGGAACUGCCUUUGAUACUGGGUAUCUUGAGUAUGGAAGAGGUAAGUGGAAUUGCGAGUGUAGAGGUGAAAUUCGUAGA